GACUUUUCUAUGCAUGUAGGUGUGUAUCUCUAUGGAGGCCGUCUGCGAAGUGUGGUGUGUGUAGCAAUGUAGGUGUGUAUGUAUACUAGAAUAAGAUCCGAUUCUUCCUUGUCCUCUGACUUGGCCAAGUCCGUGCGCGCCCUGAAUACAAUAAGAAUUUUUUUUUUUUUAGAUAGUGUCACACUACACUGUCUAAAUCCAUUUUAGACGGACUCUAUAAAAUUAAAUGACAGACCCUUGGAAAAUAAAACAAAUAGAUAGACCCCCCCAUCCCUCUACAUACCUCGACACCCCGUCACCCCACCGUCACCCCUUUCACAGUACCAGCAUAGUACUCACAUAGCACUACCACAUCUGUCAGCACACAUUCUCGCCAAGUACGCAUGCACAGCGACCGGGAUCGAUCCGAUUCGCUCCUCUUCCAGCCAGGCUCCACACGAUUCGUGUGCAUACAAAAAGCACCAGCACAGCCUCGUUCCUCGUGCAGUGAGUGGGUGUGGGUGUGUCCCCUCCCACCCUAGUUGCAUGGCACAGCAUACCAACAUGCCUUUGCACCACCACCUUGCAACACGAGAGAGACCAUACAGCAUAUAACACACAGCACAGCACAGCAUAACAUAACACACAACACAACACAAUACAGCACAGCAUAACAUAACACACAACACAACACAAUACAACACAGCAUAACAUAACACAACACUCAACACAACACACAGCACAGCAUAACAUAACACACAACACAACACAAUACAGCACAGCAUAACACAACACAACAACACAACACAACACAACUCGGAUCCCACACUACACUCUAUCAACACAGCGACAGGACCCGG
This 839-nucleotide unclassified non-coding RNA is filed under the name Malassezia pachydermatis. Its description in RNAcentral is "partial miscellaneous RNA". The record is from RNAcentral. Lineage: Eukaryota; Fungi; Basidiomycota; Malasseziomycetes; Malasseziales; Malasseziaceae.